Molecule: small RNA, 29 nt
Filed under: Bombyx mori (domestic silkworm)
Lineage: Eukaryota; Metazoa; Arthropoda; Insecta; Lepidoptera; Bombycidae
Description: ovarian small RNA-35262
Source: RNAcentral
UGUAAAAUCCGAUAGGUCAUUGACCUUCA